AAGUCGAACGGUGGUNGCAAUACCAUAGUGGCGCACGGGUGCGUAACACGUAACUAACCUACCUAUAACUGGGGGAUAGCCCGCCGAAAGGCGGAUUAAUACCGCAUAAGCUUUUGAGGUGGCAUCACCUUUUCAGUAAAGAUUUAUUGGUUAUAGAUGGGGUUGCGGGUCAUUAGCUAGUUGGUUGGGUAACGGCUGACCAAGGCGACGAUGACUAGGGGAGCUGAGAGGCUGGUCCCCCACACGGGCACUGAGAUACGGGCCCGACUCCUACGGGAGGCAGCAGUAGGGAAUAUUGGGCAAUGGGCGAGAGCCUGACCCAGCCAUGCCGCGUGCAGGAAGAAGGCUUUCUGAGUCGUAAACUGCUUUUGACAGGGAAGAAUAAGCACUACGUGUAGUGCGAUGACGGUACCUGCAGAAUAAGCACCGGCUAACUCCGUGCCAGCAGCCGCGGUAAUACGGAGGGUGCGAGCGUUGUCCGGAUUUAUUGGGUUUAAAGGGUGCGUAGGCGGCCCGUUAAGUCCGGGGUG
RNAcentral lists this ribosomal RNA (530 nucleotides) under uncultured Bacteroidota bacterium. Its description in RNAcentral is "bacterial SSU rRNA". It matches the Rfam family "Bacterial small subunit ribosomal RNA", at positions 59 to 596 of the family's 1533-position model. Lineage: Bacteria; Pseudomonadati; Bacteroidota. The record is from RNAcentral.